AGGAAGAAUACAUUGAACACAUUAAGAAAUCUUUUGCACAGGUGGUUGAGGCUGAAGGUGGUGAGGCAUUGAGCCGACGAAAGGAGUUCAAUGAUGUUGAUCAAGCGAAUGAUCUAUCUAUUAUAGUUGGGAUCGGACGCGAACUAAUUAUGUUUCUUAAGUGCAUUUUAGUUUUGGUUUUUUUAGUGCUAGUUGCGAUUGUAUUUGUUGUAGCCAAGCUUUCUUAAAUUAAUCAACUAUGUAUCUUAGACAUGUUGUGCAAUAAGAUGAGAAAGUAUAUGUGUGC
RNAcentral lists this long non-coding RNA (286 nucleotides) under Sorghum bicolor (sorghum). RNAcentral describes it as "long non-coding RNA (SBIC_LNC016165)". The record is from RNAcentral. Lineage: Eukaryota; Viridiplantae; Streptophyta; Magnoliopsida; Poales; Poaceae.